RNAcentral lists this ribosomal RNA (253 nucleotides) under uncultured bacterium. RNAcentral describes it as "partial 16S ribosomal RNA". It matches the Rfam family "Bacterial small subunit ribosomal RNA", at positions 524 to 776 of the family's 1533-position model. The record is from RNAcentral.
UACGGGGGGGGCAAGCGUUGUUCGGAAUUACUGGGCGUAAAGGGCUUGUAGGUGGCCAACUAAGUCAGACGUGAAAUCCCUCGGCUUAACUGGGGAACUGCGUCUGAGACUGGCGAGCUUGAGUGCAGGAGAGGAACGCAGAAUUCAAGGUGUAGCGGUGAAAUGCGUAGAUAUCUGGAGGAACACCGGUGGCGAAGGCGGCGUUCUGGACUGCAACUGACACUGAGAGACGAAAGCCAGGGGAGCAAACGGG